This 254-nucleotide ribosomal RNA is filed under the name uncultured bacterium. Its description in RNAcentral is "partial 16S ribosomal RNA". It matches the Rfam family "Bacterial small subunit ribosomal RNA", at positions 524 to 776 of the family's 1533-position model. The record is from RNAcentral.
UACAGAGGUCUCAAGCGUUGUUCGGAUUCAUUGGGCGUAAAGGGUGCGUAGGUGGCGCGCUAAGUCAGGUGUGAAAGCGCGGGGCUCAACCCUGCGUCGGCCAUGAAUACUGCCGCGGCUGGAGCACUGUAGAGGCAGGCGGAAUUCCGGGUGUAGCGGUGGAAUGCGUAGAGAUCCGGAAGAACACCGGUGGCGAAGGCGGCCUGCUGGGCAGUUGCUGACACUGAGGCGCGACAGCGUGGGGAGCAAACAGG